Long non-coding RNA from Acinonyx jubatus (cheetah), 1077 nucleotides. RefSeq lists it as uncharacterized. The record is from RefSeq and is a predicted model, not a curated record. The transcript has 3 exons. NCBI's taxonomy places the organism in Eukaryota, Metazoa, Chordata, Mammalia, Carnivora, Felidae.
UUGAUCUUCAUGUCCCAGUGGAUAUUCAGUUCUCAUGGAUUGGGGGAUUAAAAAUAUAAGUCUAUAUCCUGUCAAUAGGAAAACGGAUACCUUAGAUAAGCCACAGGGGACUGUCUGUUUAAACAACUUAAGCGUCUGUUUCCAGAAUGCUGAAGAGAAAUGGAUAGGAAGGUUAAAUAUAAAAUAUUAUUUGUAGAUAUUACAUUGUUGGGCUUCAAUGUCUCUAGUCUAGUCUCACCUACCCAGAGCAUACAUUAUGAAAUGAAGUCACUGAAAAUGACACUCUGUGAUCUACUGAGAUCCCUGAAGUGCAGAUUAACUUAACAAAUAACAGGGAUCAGGAUACUAAUAACAUAUCAUCAUGAGGAAAUGAGGGGAAUUUGGCAUAAGCCAAAGUAAAAGGUUCCUCUCCUGGCUGAACUGUUAACAGCUCAAAGUAGGCUGCAGGAUGGUGGGAGGAAACUCAGAGGAGUGCUGCUGGUCUCCGAUUCCACACCUGGGGGCUGUCCUACCAGUCUCCCACUUCGGGGUGCUGAGAUGUCAGGAAGGAAGACAGCAGGUGAGGAAAGCCGAAGACGUCUUCUGUGGAAGAACCCGCAUUUCCUCCUGCCAUACAUACGUGUCUCUGACAAACAUCCUGGAAGACCAAUGACACCUGAAAACACCUGUUUCAGAAUCUAUCACAGGAAUUGGCCCCCUCUUGCUUUAUGAACAUACUUGCAACUGUGACGGCAGAUGUCCCUGACUGCACACUCCAAGGAACAAAUGGCCAUUGUCAUCUCUGUACAGUCUGCAUGGUAUCUACAGAGGUCCUGGCCUACCAGUGAGGAGAAUCAUGAAGUUUAAAAACAGAUUUAAAACAACAGGAUCUAUAGCAGGACCCAGAAAACAGCAGAUCUGAAUAAAUGUUCUCUGAAUCUUUUAUUUGGGGGCUGCUUUUUUUCUCCCUUCUAAUUCUUAGAUGUGUGGCUUACUUGAGGUUAACAGAAAAGUAAGCACUAUGUACCACUUGAUUUAAGAAAUGUGAAUAGAUGAGAAAUUUUAGAAAAUUAUAGAGAAAUCGAUGCUUACUUUCUU